UUAGAGAGAUAAAGUUAAGAGAAUUCAUGAUACAGCCAUAGUUUUCAAGGUGCUGGAGAAAAGUAAAAGAACUUCAUGUUGUUGUGAUGAAAAGUGUUUAGACUCCUUACUUUUCUACUGAUGAUAUGGGGAUUCCCGGAAGAUUUUCAGAAAUUUCAUACUUGCUGAUAGAAUACAAUGAAGAACAAAGGAAAUUUCCAAAGGUCCUGACAAACAUCAAGGUAAACAGUGAACUGGAGAGACGAUUCUACCUGGUCCAGAAAUGCAAAUUGGAUGUUAGUGCAUGGGCAUCCCAUAUGAGGUAUCAGUAAGGAAACAUAGGCUACAGAUAUCAGAACAUAGUGCAGCCAGUAAUAAAAGCGUAGAUGAUGGUAGUUUUUCAUACAGAAUACUUCCACGACCACGCGUGUGCUGUGCACUACUGAGCAAUGCAUGGGUGACUGUCAUCAUGAGCAUCUAGUACCUCUCAGGGUAGAGUAAGGUUCCUCAGUGUCACCAACUCUCAUGACCUCUAACACAUGCUGGGGAGCUGUGGAAGGCCCUAUGGAAGACCAGCAUCUUGAGCUGACCUCCAAGUACCCUUAAGACCUAUGUGGUGUUCCAGACCUCACAUGUUGUCAUCAUGGCUUCAUUGUUUCCUAAUGCCCUUUAACACCUACCAUUUAGAAAGUUUGAUAAAGGGGUGAGGGAUACCAGGAAGUCCACAGUGUUACUGUAGCAAGGAGAUGAAAACGCAGGUAUAUCAUUAUUCUAAAAAGUUUCUGAUCCACACAUUUUUUGGUACACAUUCUUAAGCCAUUUGCAUGAUUUUCCAAAAUGCAGAUUGAAUACAAAAAGAAGAAAACUCUGUUGGUACUAACCCACAUGUCAUUAUGGAAACAUCCUCUUGGAAGAUCCUCCUGGAGGUAGAAUGCAACAUGGAUGGUCAUUGGAUGGUCAUAACGUAUGAGAUGGCCGGCCCAAGAGCAUUGCACAGCAGAAGUGCUGAUAACACUGGCAAGAAGAUCAAGGCAGACUCAGUGGUUCUGAUACACCUCCAAGGAAAGAAAUCAUCUGGGAAAUGUCAUCUUAGAAAAAAGUGUAACUUGCAGAAUCAUGGAAUGGCAUUCCCUAUAAGGUCACUGAAGAAAUGGAUUUAA
Molecule: long non-coding RNA, 1139 nt
Filed under: Oryctolagus cuniculus (rabbit)
Lineage: Eukaryota; Metazoa; Chordata; Mammalia; Lagomorpha; Leporidae
Description: lncRNA (ENSOCUG00000034543.1)
Source: RNAcentral